GGGGUUGUGGCUCAGUGGUAGAGCACUUGCCUCACAUGAAUGAGACACUGGGUUCAAUCCUCACCACCACA
Molecule: transfer RNA, 71 nt
Filed under: Marmota monax (woodchuck)
Lineage: Eukaryota; Metazoa; Chordata; Mammalia; Rodentia; Sciuridae
Description: tRNA.Val
Source: RNAcentral